GUCUAUGGCCAUGCCACCCUGAACAAGCCUGAUGUCUGAUCUUGGAAGCUAAGCUGGGUUGGGCCUGGUUAGUACUUGGAUAGGAGACUACCUAGGAAGACCAGGUGCUGAAGGCU
This 116-nucleotide ribosomal RNA is filed under the name Pteropus alecto (black flying fox). Lineage: Eukaryota; Metazoa; Chordata; Mammalia; Chiroptera; Pteropodidae. The record is from RNAcentral.